RNAcentral lists this ribosomal RNA (485 nucleotides) under uncultured Cellvibrio sp. Its description in RNAcentral is "bacterial SSU rRNA". It matches the Rfam family "Bacterial small subunit ribosomal RNA", at positions 92 to 573 of the family's 1533-position model. Lineage: Bacteria; Pseudomonadati; Pseudomonadota; Gammaproteobacteria; Cellvibrionales; Cellvibrionaceae. The record is from RNAcentral.
GCAGCGGCGGACGGGUGAGUAACGCGUGGGAAUCUGCCCAGUAGUGGGGGACAACAGCCGGAAACGGCUGCUAAUACCGCAUACGCCCUACGGGGGAAAGGGGGGGAUCUUCGGACCUCUCGCUAUUGGAUGAGCCCGCGUCGGAUUAGCUAGUUGGUAGGGUAAAGGCCUACCAAGGCUACGAUCCGUAACUGGUCUGAGAGGAUGAUCAGUCACACUGGAACUGAGACACGGUCCAGACUCCUACGGGAGGCAGCAGUGGGGAAUAUUGGACAAUGGGGGAAACCCUGAUCCAGCCAUGCCGCGUGUGUGAAGAAGGCCUUAGGGUUGUAAAGCACUUUCAGUGGGGAGAAAGGUUUGUCACCUAAUACGUGAUGAAAUUGAUGUUACCCACAGAAGAAGCACCGGCUAACUCCGUGCCAGCAGCCGCGGUAAUACGGAGGGUGCAAGCGUUAAUCGGAAUUACUGGGCGUAAAGCGCACGUA